RNAcentral lists this non-coding RNA (21 nucleotides) under Arabidopsis thaliana (thale cress). Lineage: Eukaryota; Viridiplantae; Streptophyta; Magnoliopsida; Brassicales; Brassicaceae. The record is from RNAcentral.
UGGUUAGUGUUUUGGAGUCAC